This 677-nucleotide ribosomal RNA is filed under the name uncultured bacterium. RNAcentral describes it as "bacterial SSU rRNA". It matches the Rfam family "Bacterial small subunit ribosomal RNA", at positions 8 to 676 of the family's 1533-position model. The record is from RNAcentral.
AGAGUUUGAUCCUGGCUCAGGAUGAACGCUAGCGGGAGGCUUAACACAUGCAAGUCGAGGGGCAUCACGAGGUAGCAAUACUUUGGUGGCGACCGGCGCACGGGUGAGUAACACGUAUGCAACCUUCCCUGUACAGGGGGAUAACCCGGAGAAAUUCGGACUAAUACCCCAUGAUGAUAUUUAUGGGCAUCCAUUGAUAUUUAAAGCUCUGGCGGUACAGGAUGGGCAUGCGCGACAUUAGCUAGUUGGUAAGGUAACGGCUUACCAAGGCUACGAUGUUUAGGGGACCUGAGAGGGUUGUCCCCCACACUGGUACUGAGACACGGACCAGACUCCUACGGGAGGCAGCAGUGAGGAAUCUUGGUCAAUGGACGCAAGUCUGAACCAGCCAUGUCGCGUGAAGGAGGACGGCCCUAAGGGUUGUAAACUUCUUUUGCAGCGGAAUAAAGUUUGCCACGAGUUGGCGAUUUGCAAGUACGCUGCGAAUAAGGAUCGGCUAACUCCGUGCCAGCAGCCGCGGUAAUACGGAGGAUCCGGGCGUUAUCCGGAUUUAUUGGGUUUAAAGGGUGCGCAGGCGGGGAUUUAGGUCGGCGGUGAAAUUUCGGGGCUCAACCUCGAUAGUGCCGUUGAAACCGUUUCUCUUUGAGUGCGGAUGAGGUAGGCGGAAUUUGUGGUGU